Molecule: long non-coding RNA, 367 nt
Organism: Trematomus bernacchii (emerald rockcod)
Lineage: Eukaryota; Metazoa; Chordata; Actinopteri; Perciformes; Nototheniidae
Exons: 3
Source: RefSeq, a predicted model, not a curated record
GUGGCAGCGGUCGUACGAAAACAAGUCCACAUUUUGACUUGCUAAACUCGGUCCUCGGAGACAGACCGACGAGUGGUGUGGGAUGCACCGUGAAUUCGCUUUGUCUCUCGUCAAUUGGGUUGGAGGACGAGUCAUUUAAUGCUGGCAUAUCUCGUUUGGAGUGCAGUGAGUCGGAACCACCACCACCGUCGGCGUGUCUCGCCCGUGCACAUGCUUGGGUCUCUUGCCACAACAAGCAGCUCUUCCCAGGAAUCUCUGGUGACCCUAACCCAGCCAGUGGGCCGUAACAAACAGGUUAAAAGGAAGCGGGAUUCGUCAUCUGGCCUUGUCCCGUUAAUGGAGAGGAGUGAAGCCAGGGACGAAGAGC